Long non-coding RNA from Schistocerca gregaria, 3375 nucleotides. RefSeq lists it as uncharacterized. The transcript has 3 exons. The record is from RefSeq and is a predicted model, not a curated record. NCBI's taxonomy places the organism in Eukaryota, Metazoa, Arthropoda, Insecta, Orthoptera, Acrididae.
UUUACAUGGUGCACAGUAAACGGCACCGGUGCUACAGAAGUAUGUUAGGAAAUCACGCAAAGUUGUUUCACCACUUAAAAAGUUUACGGACUUCCAGCCCCAUCUUCAGAGGCACCUUAUGGUGUAACACAUCACUUUGGUGAAGUUAUGUGUUGCAAAAUGUCUUUAGUAUUGAAGAACAAUGACUGCUACCAUGAAAAGGUUUUUAAUUUGAAUAGUAUGAUUUAAUGAUAGUAAGAGCCUUCCUUCCUCUAAUCCGAUAGUGGUAGAAAUUUCAUAUUAAAAUGUAAUGGUCAACAAUUUGAAAUGGUCAACAAUUUGAAAUCAUGUAAUUUGAUUGAACAGUGAUGAAUAUUACUGAGAGACGAUUUCAUUGAAUGGUGACAUAGAAAAUUAAUUUUAAAUAAAGUUCUUAGUUUUUGGUAUGUUGAAUACUCUAGUUCUAGAUCUUUUCAUAAAUUAAUAACACAACAACUAUUGGUUUUUGAAUUUUUUUUUCGAGUUGAACCAAUUAAAUACAGAAUUUCAUACAUGAUUUGUUUUUCCUUUUUAAGUCAUUACAAUACUUUUGACUGCUUCACUGAUGAGUGCAAACAUGACAUACAACUUGAACUAACAGAAACAGUGUGACCAAGAGCUAAAUUGGCAGGCACAGGUGCCCCAGUAUAAAUAAAGAUGUGACAAUGGCGUUUUACAACUAUUUACUGAAACAUUGACAUUAAAAAUCUUAUAAGUAAAAGUUGAAAGUUUACAAAUGUUUCACUAUAAUGUUAUGUUUUGCAACAUGAAAGAAAAUUUUUGACAUAAAUCCAAUUUUGACAAAUGUUGGAUUUCUAUAAAAAAAAUAGCACACAAUAUAGUUUUUAACAAUUAGUUCCACAAAACUUCACAAUUAGUUACCUAUUUUUGUGCCAAACAUUUGUACAAGGUCUCAUAUAGAAGUUGUACACUUUAGCUCAGUUGAUUGUGCAAUAUACAACUGAAUACAACUAAAAUUACAAUGUAAGUAAGUGAAUAAAUAAAAAAAAAAGCUACUCAUCAGUUGGUGGUAAGAGAACAUACAUAUAAAAAGUAUUUCAGUUUGCAAACUUUUGGGGCCAAGUGCUCCUUCUUGUGGCAGAAGGGUCGAAGGGGAAGGAAGAGGGAAAAGGACUGGUGUGGUUUAGGAAAAUGGGUAGAGUUCAGCAAAGUCCACCAGAACCCCAGGUCAGGGUAGACUUACCUGACUUCUCAUCCCGUCCAGUAAGUCUCUUCUGAUCCAUGAUUCCCCUACAACCCUUCUGCCAGAAGAAGAAGCCACUGGCUCCAAAAGCUUGCAAACUGUAAUACCUUUUAUAAGUGUGCUUCCCUGCGCCGCUUGUGAGUACAUUUUUUUAUCCAUCUAAUUAAUUAUAUUAUCAAAAAAUAGAUUAUUUUUGUUGAUAUAGAAUUACAGGAUGGAUUAUAAGAAUCUAUGAUGCAGUAAAUUUAUAUGGAAGUAGCUGUACUGUAAAAUAAAAGAAUACUACUUUAGUUAAUUAUGGACUCAUGUAACAUUAAACAAUGAGUUUAAAAAGUGUACACUGCAGCUAUGAAACAUUUCCAUGAUCACAAUGAGGGAUUAAGUAGAAUGAGUUUUCCCUCUGUGGCAGAGUGUGCACUGCUCUGAAACUUUCUGGCAGAUUAAAACUGUGUGCCGGACCGAGACUAGACUCGGGACCUUUGCCUUUCGUGGGCAAGUGCUCUACAACUGAGCUUACCAAGUACAACUCACAACCCUCUCUCACGGAGCACUUGCCUGCAAAAGGCAUAGGUCCCCAGUUUGAAUCUCAGUCUGGCACAAAAUUUUAAUCUGGCAGAAAGUUUCAUGUAUUAGGCACUUCACAGAACAUAAGGUUUGAGUACUAGACUAACCUGUUACAUUACAGGUGUUACUUAUCACUUAAAUUUUUAAAGAAGAUUACAUCACAAUGGUUGCUGGAGGUAGAUGCAGUUCAAAACGGGGCUACCUUCUAGCAUGAAAAACGCUAUAUGAAACAAGUCAAUGCAUAUAAGUCAGUGCCAGAAUCAUUUUGGUGUAUGAUAUAUGUCAAUAGGAAUGUUUUUGCUCCAGUUAACUAUCUGUGAAACCUGCCAACAAUAACAAAUUAUUUAACGUAAAUCUGCUGGCUAAAUCUCAUUACACAUUUUAAGACCAACAACUGUUUGUAACAUUUGUUAUGUUACAUUAGCUGGCUGGUGUGGCUGAGCAUUCUAGGUGGUUCAGUCUGGAUCCACGCGACCGCUAUGGUUGCAGGUUUGAAUCCUGCCUCAGGCAUGGGUGUGUGUGAUGUCCUUAGGUUAGUUAGUUUUAAGUAGUUCUAUGUUCUAGGGGAUUGAUGACCUCAGAUGUUAAGUCCCAUAGUGCUCAGAGCCAUUUGAACCAUUUGUGCUAACAUUAUCAAAAUUAUAUAUUUCAGAAGCUCCAUUUAUUCCAUAUACUUCAGUAUAAUUUCAUGAGAUAUAUUACAUGACUCAUUCUGGGAAAAGAUUACAUUUGUGUUUGUAAAACAUACACGUAAGUGUUUUCCUAAGUCACUAUUGUACGUCCUUGAAUAGUUUUAAACAAGACUUUUAAGUUUCCUGACCUGUUAAUAGGGUUCCUCAGACGCCAUUGUCUUCUUAAAAUAACUGUUUAUUGCUACCAGAUGUUUUGAGAGAACUUUGAGUAACUUUACGCAAUGCUUUCAAAGCAGAUUUUCAUUUUAUGCUAUUUUAUUUUUGCUGCUUAUAUCAACGAUGAUCAUAGUUUGCCUCCCCCCCCUUUUUUCCACUAAAUUGCUUAAGGCAAAUGCCAGGAUGGUUCCUUCAAAAGGGCAUGGUCGCUUUCCUUCCCCAUCCUUUCCUAAUCUGAGCUUGUGCUCCGUCUCAACCUUGUUGUCAACAGGACGUUAGAACACUAAUCUCCUCCUCCUCUUCCCAUUGAAACUUAAUAUUAGUGACUGAACAUGACAAAAUCUCUGUGAUGACUGACUGCAUUAUGUUUACUUUAUGAAAGCACCACCAGGACUAACUCACAUUAUGAAUGUUGGCUGCAGAUUCAGUACAUGAAAUUAACUUGUAAUUUCUUAGCGCAGGCUGUGAACAAUAUUUAAAGGAAUUGAAAGAAGACUAACUGAUUGUGGCUUUGUGCACAGUGCCUAUUUAAAGACUACUGCAAGAUUGUUUUUGCAAAAUGAUGACAUAUACUAAAUUUUCAGUAGUAGCAUAUCAGUCAGGAAAAGUACAGAUAACAUACAUACAUUAGGCAGUGAAGUUACUUUAAUUAACAACUGAUUGAAUAACUUCAAAAUAGACCAGUUACUAUGCACUACUUUUAUAAGCGUAAAUUUGGAUUUUCGCUUUUAGACAGGAGAC